GAAGAACACUCAACAGACUUAAUAUUGGAGGUAUAUUGGUCUGGCGCGGUGGUUCACGCCUGUAAUCCCAGCACAGGCCGAGGGGGGCAGAUCAGCUGAGGUCGGGAGUUUGAAAACAGUCUGACCAACAUGGCAAAACCCCCUCGCUACUGAAAAUACAAAAAAUUAGCCAGGUGUGGUGGCGGGCACCUGUAAUCCCAGCUACUGGGGAGGUUGAGGCAGGAGAGUCGCUUGAACCUGGGAGGCAAAGGUUGUGGUGAGCCGAGAUCACACCAUGGCACUCAGGCCUGGGCAACAAGAGCGAAACUCUAUCUCAAAAAAAAAAAAUUCGAAGUAUAUGCUGAAGGGUAUGGCGUCAAGGAAAAGGAAUAGCUGCCUGCCCACCUAUGUGGCAAAGUAGGAUAGGCUGCUAACUGCUUCCUGGAAAAUCAACCCUGAAGAAAUGGGAGUGAGACAGGUUCCAGGAACCAACCGUAGCAGCAAACCAAGGCUUCUGCGUCACUGAAGGCUGUUGAGAGCUGGGAAUGUGGGAAAUGGGUUGCUGUUGCCUGGGGUGGAGGAGACCUGGCUGGAAGGGCAAGGAAAGGAUGAGGGAAAAGCUGUUCAGAGAUCAAGAUGAUCUCCCUCUCCCCAGCAUGGCCUUGGGAUGGUCAUUGCUUAGCACUGCCAUGGCAUCAGUAGUGACAGCCCAGGCCUCUAGGGCCAUAGGACACUGGGCAACGAUGACAGUGCAAAAGCCCAGGAGUCAGGAAGAACACAUGCAGACCGACCAGCAGGCUGCCUGUGGCCAUCCCUCCACAACCUCCUUCCGCCCCAGGCAGGGAGUCGUGCAGCCCUGUGUUGUACAGAGCAUCCCAGGCUGAGAGGCCAAUGGCACAGACACCCUGCAAGGCCUCUCCUCCCUGUGUGAGUGCCCUGGCCAUCUGUGCUCUAGCCUGGGUGCCUUUUUGUAAUUUGUAUGGCCAGAGGCAGCUACUCUCAGCCCGGUGCAAGGACUCGCGCCUGUAAUCCCAGCACUUUGGGAGGCUGAGGCAGGCAGAUCACUUGAAGCCAGGAGUUCGAGACCCGCCUGGCCAACGUGGCAAAACCCCAUCUCUACUAAAAAUACCCAAAAAAAAUCAGCUGGGUAUGGUGGCGGGCGCCUGUAAUCCCAGCUACUUGGGAGGCUGAGGCGUGAGAAUUGCUUGAAUCCAGGAGGCAGAGGUUGCAGUGAGCUAAGGUCGCGCCACUGCACUCCAGCCCGGGCGACAGAGCGAGACGCUGUCUCAAAAAAAAAAAAAAAAAGUAAUUUUCCAAGGUCACAGUGCUAUUAAGCACCAUUUGUAAUUGCAGACAAAACCAGAAAACUCAGACCCCGGAAUCACCUCACAUGUCAUUCGAUGAAUUGCGGUACAUACAUGCAAAGGAACAUAGGGCAGAUUCACUGGUUGAUUUGAUUUGUGUUUGAUGAAGAAAUCUCAGAAGCAACAUUGAGAGAGAAAAAAGCAAGUUGUAGCUAUCUUUCAGCUGAGGAGAAAAUAUGCAAUCUCACCUGAAAUAUCUGGUAAUUCUAAUUUCAGUUUCCCUUUGCAAUUUCCUUUCCAUUCCCAGAAUUUUCCUUGCGUUUGUGGGAGCCAUGGUUUGGGUCUCUUUUUCGUGGUCUUUUCCUUUCAGGAAACUGUGUUUCCUCGAGUGUCGAGUGGCUCUCGUGCUUCCGGUCGCAUUUCUGUGAAAGAAACUACUGGGAUAUUGGGGGCAGGACUUGUUGACUGACAGCCAUCACCACAGUGCUGACUCUGUCCCUCAAGACCAGGAGUGUACUGGGCAGACACACUUCUCCUGGCCUUAGCCAGCCUGGCACUGCUGGGCCCCACCAGGCAGCUGGGAGGGCGCCUGAACUGCCCCUGGCUGGGUGGCCUUAAGGACCCCAGGGGGUGCUGCCAGCUACGAUACACCCACUUUCUGCUUCUUUGCAGAAACCUUUAUCGGUGAACUAUCAGUGUCCCCUCCUUUGUGUUAGGAGCCCAUAGGGCCUGUAUUCCUUUGCUGUCAUUUGAACAGUAUUUUGAGAAAACCAUAGGCGCUCAACCAAGGCACACUGCUAAGUCAGUUGCCACUCAAGUUUCUGCUUUUCGGCCGGGUGCAGUGGCUCACGCCUGUAAUCUCAGCACUUUGGGAGGCCGAGGUGGGCGGAUCACCUGAGGUCAGGAGUUCGAGACCAGCCUGGCCCACAUGGAGAAACCCUGUCUCUACUAAAAA
Molecule: long non-coding RNA, 2238 nt
Organism: Macaca mulatta (Rhesus monkey)
Lineage: Eukaryota; Metazoa; Chordata; Mammalia; Primates; Cercopithecidae
Source: Ensembl